UGGGAGGAGGCCUGUGCAAUGAGCAGAACCACAAAGCAUAGUUCUCUUGCAUAGACAUAACAAGAAGCUGCCAAUGGCGCCUGAAAUUCAUAAUAAUUUAACUAUUAAAUAUUAAAAUCACAUAUGGAACUUGAUUAUGUUAACAAAGUUCACUUACCCGGAUAUAUAAGGCAAAAAGUAUAUUUUCUUGCCGCUUNCAAAACUUCUUAUCAGAUUCAUGUUGAUCUGAUCAAAAUCAUUUGAUUCAUGAAUUGNUUGNGGAUCNAUGAAUCCAUAAUCAUCAGAACG
RNAcentral lists this long non-coding RNA (288 nucleotides) under Vigna radiata. Its description in RNAcentral is "long non-coding RNA (VRAD_LNC006702)". Lineage: Eukaryota; Viridiplantae; Streptophyta; Magnoliopsida; Fabales; Fabaceae. The record is from RNAcentral.